This 253-nucleotide ribosomal RNA is filed under the name uncultured bacterium. RNAcentral's name for it is "partial 16S ribosomal RNA". It matches the Rfam family "Bacterial small subunit ribosomal RNA", at positions 524 to 776 of the family's 1533-position model. The record is from RNAcentral.
GACAGAAGGUGCAAGCGUUACUCGGAAUUACUGGGCGUAAAGCGUCUGUAGGUGUCUGGCCACGUCUGGUGUGAAAUCUCAGGGCUUAACCCUGUGCCCACACUGGAAACGAGUCAGAUCGAGUCACUCAGAGGCAUCUGGAAUGUCGUGUGUAGGGGUAAAAUCCGUAGAUACACGAUGGAACGCCAAAAGCGAAAGCAGGAUGCUGGGGGUGUACUGACACUCAGAGACGAAAGCGUGGGGAGCAAAGGGG